GUGGCAAGUUGACAUUCGUCAACGGGAAUACACAGGUUGAGGUAUUCCACAUCUGAAAAUCCCUAUUUUAUUGUCUAGAGUUUUGUAAUUAUUAAAAUAAAAAACC
Long non-coding RNA from Telopea speciosissima, 106 nucleotides. RefSeq lists it as uncharacterized. The record is from RefSeq and is a predicted model, not a curated record. The transcript has 3 exons. Lineage: Eukaryota; Viridiplantae; Streptophyta; Magnoliopsida; Proteales; Proteaceae.